GACGAACGCUGGCGGCGUGCUUAACACAUGCAAGUCGAACGGUGAAGCGCCUUCCUUUUUGGUGGGUGUGGAUGAGUGGCGAACGGGUGAGUAACACGUGAGUAACCUGCCCCCUUCUUCUGGAUAACCGCAUGAAAGUGUGGCUAAUACGGGAUAUUCUGGGUCUGUCGCAUGAUGGGUCUGGGAAAGAUAUUGUUUCGGUGGGGGAUGGGCUCGCGGCCUAUCAGCUUGUUGGUGGGGUGAUGGCCUACCAAGGCGGUGACGGGUAGCCGGCCUGAGAGGGUGGACGGUCACACUGGGCUGAGACACGGCCCAGACUCCUACGGGAGGCAGCAGUGGGGAAUAUUGCACAAUGGGCGCAAGCCUGAUGCAGCGACGCCGCGUGAGGGAUGGAGGCCUUCGGGUUGUGAACCUCUUUCGCCAGUGAAGCAGGCCUGCCUCGUUUGUGGGUGGGUUGACGGUAGCUGGAUAAGAAGCGCCGGCUAACUACGUG
Molecule: ribosomal RNA, 493 nt
Filed under: uncultured bacterium
Lineage: Bacteria
Description: partial 16S ribosomal RNA
Rfam family: Bacterial small subunit ribosomal RNA
Source: RNAcentral